Molecule: ribosomal RNA, 254 nt
Filed under: uncultured bacterium
Lineage: Bacteria
Description: partial 16S ribosomal RNA
Rfam family: Bacterial small subunit ribosomal RNA
Source: RNAcentral
UACGGGGGGAGCAAGCGUUGUUCGGAUUUACUGGGCGUAAAGGGCGCGUAGGCGGUCAGCACAAGUCAGUUGUGAAAUCUCCGGGCUUAACUCGGAAAGGUCAACUGAUACUGUGCGACUAGAGUGCAGAAGGGGCAACUGGAAUUCUCGGUGUAGCGGUGAAAUGCGUAGAUAUCGAGAGGAACACCUGCGGCGAAGGCGGGUUGCUGGGCCGAUACUGACGCUGAGGAGCGAAAGCGUGGGGAGCGAACAGG